This 221-nucleotide ribosomal RNA is filed under the name uncultured Enterobacterales bacterium. RNAcentral's name for it is "partial 16S ribosomal RNA". It matches the Rfam family "Bacterial small subunit ribosomal RNA", at positions 110 to 334 of the family's 1533-position model. Lineage: Bacteria; Pseudomonadati; Pseudomonadota; Gammaproteobacteria; Enterobacterales. The record is from RNAcentral.
GUAAUGUCUGGGAAACUGCCCGAUGGAGGGGGAUAACUACUGGAAACGGUAGCUAAUACCGCAUAACGUCGCAAGACCAAAGAGGGGGACCUUCGGGCCUCUUGCCAUCGGAUGUGCCCAGAUGGGAUUAGCUAGUAGGUGGGGUAACGGCUCACCUAGGCGACGAUCCCUAGCUGGUCUGAGAGGAUGACCAGCCACACUGGAACUGAGACACGGUCCAG